UGGAAAAAAAUAUGGCGACUAAGAAACACUUAAUGUCAACAAGAUUUUCUGAUUGACAAGAGAAAAGGUCAAACAGGAACUUCAAUUGUGAACAUUGCAGAGAACACACCCAUCAGAAGAUGACCCUCAGAAAUAGGACAAUUAAUGAAUAAAAUGGACAGAGGCAGAACUGAAGGAGAUGCAUGAAAUGAGGAAUAUUUCAAAGAUUGCCUGAGCAUAACCACUGCUACUGGAUAAACAUAUGGCAAUAUAAAAGAGCAGGGUCAAUGGAGGUAUCAUACAGUAUAGGCCAUGAGAGACCAUGAAGAAGAAAGUAUUGAACAGAAACAAAAAUAAAACCAUUUUGACAUUUAUUGAAAUAUAGGAUCAAAGUCUUACAUGUAAAAUUUGGGCAUGUAAUGACUUUUCUAUAGCUCUAAGACUUAUAACAGUGAUGAUUUGAUUUAAUAUCUUUAUCCCGAUUUGUCGAAAAGAUUUGGACAUAGUGCAUCAAUUAUUUUAAAGU
Long non-coding RNA from Saccostrea cuccullata (small rock oyster), 505 nucleotides. RefSeq lists it as uncharacterized. The record is from RefSeq and is a predicted model, not a curated record. The transcript has 3 exons. NCBI's taxonomy places the organism in Eukaryota, Metazoa, Mollusca, Bivalvia, Ostreida, Ostreidae.